AAGCUACUGUGGACCUAUAUGCCAUGCCUUUUAAUAAAAUUACCAGAGGAGUUAGCUGAAAAGCAGGUCCACAGUAGCUUAUUAUUAUUAUUAUUAUUAUUAUUAUUAUUAUUAUUAUUGGGUCUUAUAAGAGUGGGCUACAAUGUACCAGGCCAUCAAAUCACAGCAUCCGCGGGGAGAGGACACGGAAUUGUGUGCGCUUUUACGCACGCGGGUGUAGGUGAUCACGGAUAUUUGAUGUGGGAAAGAUGUAGCCAGAUGUAUUACCUGUUUUAGAUACGUGGCUGUCUGUCCGUCCAUUCGUCCGUAGCACGAGUCAUGUGCGCCACUUCACCACCGACCCGUGCGUAAAAGCGCAAACAGUCCCUCAGGAGGGACAGCCCUGCAGGCAGGGAGAGAGCAGCCCUCGCGAGCUUCUUUCUUCCUGAAUGAGGAAAUAAUCGCCCCGGCAUUUAAUCGGACCCAGCGUUUAAUACGCAAAAUGGGGUCAAACCCCCAGCGGCUAUUAGGUGCCUGGUGGCUAUUUGCCGCUGGGCGACUAUUUGGAAAUAUAUUGUAUGUGACAAUAAUCAUAUGUGUAUAAUAACAGUAGAAGUGUGACUAAUGAUAACAGCAGCAGUAGGAGGCAUCUAGCAGGACCACGGCAGCUCUUAUAGGCUGAAAUCAAGACGAUCACAUUAACCAGUGCGUAAUCAUCAGACUUGACAAUUAUCAUGGGAAAACAAUCUUUGUUAUGUCAAGAUAACGAGAUAAUUAAUUCUUUAUCACGAGAAAACAAUCUCUGUUAUGUCGAGAUAACGAAAUAAUUAAUUUGUUAUCAUGAGAUAAUCUUUGUUAUAUCAAGAUAAUGAAAUAAUAAGUCGUUAUCACGAGAUAACAAUGCACAAAAAAAAAAGAAAUACGUGGCUGUUCUCCUCUUCCGUACUCACCUGAUCCUGGAAAAUUUCCAUUCACCUGCACCCUGCAAGUCAGCACACACCCUCUUUGCCAGAUUGUUCUUCAAACUCCAUGCAAGACAUUCCAGCACUCACCCUUGGUUUGCCUCUCCGGCACUUACCCUGCCUGUUCCUGACCUGCCUCCAUCAUCUCUGCCCUGGUAGUCACCUCAGCCUUCUGUCUGCGACUCUGAUUCCUGUCUGCCACCUUCCUGAUUCCCGUCUGCUUGGCUCUGGCUGCAUGGUGCAACACCAGUCCUGCAUCCCUCAGUUCUCCAAGUUCUGCUAGCUACUCUGAAUUCACCUCACUACCAGCCUCAGGAGAGACCCCCCUGCACUACGGUACAGUCCACAACUCUCAUACCGCUUUCAAGUAUUCCCUGCCUGCUCUUGCCACAUUCACUCACCGCUGGAACUUCAAUCAAGUUAAACUUAAAGACCCCUGAUGUUUGGAGAGAAAGUUGCUGGGAGAUUUUUGGCAAAAUGGCCCACUUACUUCAAACCUCGGGUCCUGGCAGGGUACAAAAACCUAAAAUAUUGAAGACCUUGUCUGCGCAGCCAAAAAUCUGAUUAUUCUAUUUGCCCCUAGGCUGGGACAGUGACCUGUCAAGCAUUCCACUGAUGGUUCACCUACUUCCCUGUACCUCAAAAGGCCACAAGAAGAUUGCUAAAAUCAGCUCAUAUGAAGCAGUCAGUCAUGUUGUGAGAUAUCUAAGGAUUGGGGCCAGUGUUGACACCUUCCUUUGAAGUUUGGAUCCUGAACAGCCCUUCCUCCUGUGUGUUGGUGAACAAAGGGACAAGAUCUAGAAGUUCUAGUUAACUACAAGGCCAUCCCUUGUGAGGCGCAGACAUCCCUGACAGCCUUUGACAAGCUCCUCAAGGCACAUCAGUGUGAACUACCAUGUAUCCCUCAACAGCUCCUACACACACGUUUAUCCAAAUGACAGUAUUCAACAUGGACAUGGGAAGUGCCAAGAAAAGUCUCAGAGUCAAGAAGCUCAGAGCAAGGCUGUCGCACACUUGAUACUUGAGGUGAUACAUAUACACAAUACAUAUACAUACGUUACGUUUGAAAUGUGGACAACAAGGAUUCAUCAUCAUUUUGCACUUCUUCAGGGUUCAAGAAACACCAUAUUCAUUUACACAGGGACACUGUUUCAGCAAAUACUGUUGAUGAUGUGGGCACUCAAGAAUAUGAUCAGCCUUCAACUUCACAAGCAGUCUGUAGAGACACUCCAGUGAUCGCCCAGGCUUCUGUUGACAAGCAUAAUUUGUUGAACAUGUGUUGUUCUGUUGUUGCACAGUUACAAGCACCAGGUGUUGCUGAGAGCACAGUACAAGCAAUGGUAGAAUCAAUGGAAGAGCUUGUAAAUGUUAUUCACACACAAGCAAGAGAGGCGGUUCUCUCAGAGAUCUCAGGAAAUUGAGAUACAGAUUUGGAAAAUAAGGUAGAAAUUUGUUUUGACAAUCUAGAAAAUCCCUCUCAGUCUUGAACACAAAAGCAAAGUGUCAAAAGUUCUUUGAGGGAAAAGUGAGAAAUAGAUACCCCUGUAGAAUACAUUCUAGGGGUAAGAUUUUAUGUAAGCAGAGAUCAAACAGCAGGUGUUUAUAAUCAGAUUCCUGUAACAGAUAAAUUUGUGUAUGUACCCAUCUCGGGAACCCUGAAGUCAAUGUUCAAGAACAGUGAGAGUUUCUUGCAGGCCAAACAACAUAAAAAAGGUAUUUUAUGAAGAUAUGUGAUGAUAGGUGAUAGGUGAUAAUCUAGGUUUACAUGGACUAUUUGGUUAUGUUGAGUCUUUCAAUGCAACGUAUUGUUGUAGAUUUUGUUUAACCACAAAGGAAGAGUCUCAGUCUGUCCUCACUGAAGACAACCCUGGCUUUAUUUUUCGUACAAAAUAAAUCCAUACAGAACAUUGUGCAGCACUAAAAGAAGAUCCUAUGUUGCCAUCAGCAUCUGCUGUAAAAAAGACAUGCUUUCUCAAUACAUUAAAUUUUUUUCCACUCCUCCAAUAACUACGCAGUUGACACUAUGCAUGAUUUGCUUGAAGAUAGUGCAGUAUGAAUUGAAACUUGUCUUUCAACACCUUGUCAAUAGUAGGAGUAUCUAUCCUUGGAAACAUUGUCACAGGGGAUCCAAAGACCAAGUGGGUUUAAAAUGGAUGAGGGCAUCAAAGAUCUUCGAUUAAAUUCUAUCCAGUCAUGGUGUCUGCUCCCCCUAUUUUUGAUGAUGUAGCUGAGAGAAAUAACUGUUAUUGGAACCCGCUCCUCCUCUUGAUUCAGAUAGUAAAUAUUGUAUUUUUGCCAGUUGUCAUUAAUGGUAAGAAAUAUUAUUUGAAGAAUUUGAUAAAUGAUCACCACAAGCUGUUCAAAUCGUUGUUUCCUGAGAGAAGAUUUAUUCCAAAGCAUCAUUUUAUGAUACAUUACCCAAGGUGUAUUUGUAAAAUAGGUCCGGUUUGAGGCCAAACAUAAUUUUUAGGAGAUCUGUUAAGAAUUUGAAAAAUAUUUCAAAAACAUUAGUAAAAUAACACAAGAGACAGUUAGUUUAUCACUGGGAAAAAAAAUAUUUUCAGAGGUUUGAGUUUUGUCCAGUGAGGAAGGAAACUGUUGAUUGGUUGGAGGGUAGUGAGACUUUAAGUUCAGUGUUAAAUGUGAAUGCAUACUCUGAUGUGUCAACUAAUUGGGUAAAGAAUUAUGGAACUGAGUAUCAAAUUGAUGAGUUUGUAUCAGGACAAAUAUGAAAAUUCCUGUUUUCGGAAGGGACAAUAACAUCAUAAUAAAUGAAGGUCAGGCUUUUAUUUUGACUUGUGGUGUUGAGACACUUUAUUUUGAUGAGCAUUUUAAUGCUUACUGUGUCGAGGAGAGAGCUGAUUCAUAUUGUCAUUUCUAUUGAGGAGCUGAUUUGUUACAGUCAAUGUGACAAAUAGUUUUCCCAUGAGAAGGAUGGAAAAACAUACAUAUUGCCACAUUGCCAUAUUGUGUGACCUGUGCUGUUUCAAGACUGAUUGUCCAUUGUUAUUGUAAAGCAAAUGCUUUGGUGUA
Epinephelus fuscoguttatus (brown-marbled grouper) is the source of this 3974-nucleotide long non-coding RNA. RefSeq lists it as uncharacterized. Lineage: Eukaryota; Metazoa; Chordata; Actinopteri; Perciformes; Serranidae. The record is from RefSeq and is a predicted model, not a curated record. The transcript is spliced from 3 exons.